AAUGAACGUUGGCGGCGUGCCUAACACAUGCAAGUCGAGCGUGAAAGUCCUUCGGAUGAGUAAAGCGGCAGACGGGUGAGUAACGCGUGAGAAUUUUCCUUUCAGUGAAGAAUACCUUUGGGAAACUAAAGUUAAUACUGCAUACGUCUCGAAAGAGAGAAAGAUGGCCUAAUUGCUGUCGCUGAAAGAUAAGCUUGCGUUCUAUUAGCUAGUUGGUGAGGUAAUGGCUCACCAAGGCGAUGAUGGAUAGCCGGCCUGAGAGGGCGAACGGCCACAUUGGAACUUAGACACGGUCCAAACUCCUACGGGAGCAGCAGUUGAGGAAUAUUGCACAAUGGGCGCAAGCCUGAUGCAGCGACGCCGCGUGGAGGAUGACGGUCUUCGGAUUGUAAACUCCUGUUAAGUGUGAAAAAGACUUGCUUUUAAUAGAAGCGAGGGAUGAUGGUAACACUAGAG
This 456-nucleotide ribosomal RNA is filed under the name uncultured bacterium. RNAcentral's name for it is "bacterial SSU rRNA". It matches the Rfam family "Bacterial small subunit ribosomal RNA", at positions 29 to 486 of the family's 1533-position model. The record is from RNAcentral.